Molecule: ribosomal RNA, 254 nt
Filed under: uncultured bacterium
Lineage: Bacteria
Description: partial 16S ribosomal RNA
Rfam family: Bacterial small subunit ribosomal RNA
Source: RNAcentral
UACGGGGGGAGCAAGCGUUGUUCGGAUUUACUGGGCGUAAAGGGCGCGUAGGCGGUCGUGACAAGUCACUUGUGAAAUCUCAGAGCUCAACUCUGAAACUGCACUCGAUACUGCUCUGCUUGAGGACUGGAGAGGAGACUGGAAUUCACGGUGUAGCAGUGAAAUGCGUAGAUAUCGUGAGGAAGACCAGUGGCGAAGGCGGGUCUCUGGACAGUUCCUGACGCUGAGGCGCGAAGGCCAGGGGAGCAAACGGG